This 450-nucleotide ribosomal RNA is filed under the name uncultured bacterium. RNAcentral describes it as "bacterial SSU rRNA". It matches the Rfam family "Bacterial small subunit ribosomal RNA", at positions 329 to 795 of the family's 1533-position model. The record is from RNAcentral.
GUCCAGACUCCUACGGGAGGCAGCAGUGGGGGAUAUUGGACAAUGGGGGGAACCCUGAUCCAGCGACGCCGCGUGAGUGAAGAAGUAUCUCGGUAUGUAAAGCUCUCUCAGCAGGGAAGAAGAAAUGACGGUACCUGAGUAAGAAGCCCCGGCUAACUCCGUGCCAGCAGCCGCGGUAAUACGGAGGAUGCGAGCGUUAUCCGGAUUUAUUGGGUUUAAAGGGUGCGUAGGCGGAAGGUUAAGUCAGCGGUCAAAUGUCGGUGCUCAACACCGGCCUGCCGUUGAAACUGGUCUUCUUGAGUGAGCGAGAAGUAUGCGGAAUGCGUGGUGUAGCGGUGAAAUGCAUAGAUAUCACGCAGAACUCCGAUUGCGAAGGCAGCAUACCGGCGCUCAACUGACGCUGAGGCACGAAAGCGUGGGGAUCGAACAGGAUUAGAUACCCGGGUACAA